RNAcentral lists this ribosomal RNA (465 nucleotides) under Vreelandella stevensii. RNAcentral's name for it is "partial 16S ribosomal RNA". It matches the Rfam family "Bacterial small subunit ribosomal RNA", at positions 338 to 795 of the family's 1533-position model. The record is from RNAcentral. Lineage: Bacteria; Pseudomonadati; Pseudomonadota; Gammaproteobacteria; Oceanospirillales; Halomonadaceae.
CCUACGGGGGGCAGCAGUGGGGAAUAUUGGACAAUGGGGGCAACCCUGAUCCAGCCAUGCCGCGUGUGUGAAGAAAGCCCUCGGGUUGUAAAGCACUUUCAGUGAGGAAGAACGCCUGGUGGUUAAUACCCAUCAGGAAAGACAUCACUCACAGAAGAAGCACCGGCUAACUCCGUGCCAGCAGCCGCGGUAAUACGGAGGGUGCGAGCGUUAAUCGGAAUUACUGGGCGUAAAGCGCGCGUAGGUGGCUUGAUAAGCCGGUUGUGAAAGCCCCGGGCUCAACCUGGGAACGGCAUCCGGAACUGUCAAGCUAGAGUGCAGGAGAGGAAGGUAGAAUUCCCGGUGUAGCGGUGAAAUGCGUAGAGAUCGGGAGGAAUACCAGUGGCGAAGGCGGCUUUCUGGACUGACACUGACACUGAGGUGCGAAAGCGUGGGUAGCAAACAGGAUUAGAUACCCGAGUAGUC